CCUCCUGUAAUUCCCAGUCCCCAAGGCCUGUGCUACUUGACUGCUCAUGUGAUUGAGGCUUUAGAGAUGAAGUUCAGAGACAUUUCAAGCACGAUCAAAGCCAUCGAUGUCCCAUUGCUGCCAAAAGCCCAAAACACCUGUUUGUGACAUGACAUUUUCUUUGCAGAGUGCAAGGUUUGCCUUCAGUGUUGGGUGCAGCUAUAGCCCCUCGGUGUCGCUGGACCACUCGUGAGGAUUGCAUCGCUUCACUCAGUUUCAUAACCUUCCAGUCAGAGGUCUUUAACAAGUGACUAAGUAAUUCCUGAGCUUUAAAAAAAAUAAUAAUAUUACCCCUUUAAGCUGUGCCAGGAGUACAAAUCUAAUUUUCUUUUUAGGCAUUGUCUUUUAUUUCCUUGAGGUUUGAAAAGGGGAGCUCUGCUUUUAGCCACGGAGCCCUCUAUGCAGUCUCCUGAAGUUCACACCAUCAAAAAGAGCUCGCAGGUUGCUGGGAACAACGACAAGAAGAAACAUGGUGGUCUAGCAAUGCUCUGCGGCAGCUCUGGGCUCUGUAGGGCUGAUCUUCCCAGGCUGUAAAUCCCUUCAGCUGCAGUUUAGCUCUUCAGUAUGGAGACUAAGGCCGUACCUAGGGGAUGCAAUCCUGUAAUUAACCCGGAAAGCUACAGGGUCGAUGUUUUCCCAUUGUGAGCCAAGCCCAGUCACUUAAAGCCUUCAGCUAGUUUGGUUUAAUUUUUGGAAAGGUGUGGAAGGGCACACCCUAGAAGGAGGGCAGAGAGGAGAGGCACACUGGAGGGUUUUUCUGCGUGUCGUUGGUAAACCAGCCUUGCUGAGCGCAUGGGCUUGCACGAGUCGUGGCAUCCCACAGGCUCCCCCUUCCCGGUGCGUGCCUAUGGGAAUGUGCUCAUCUCUCUGCUGUAACGCUCACCAUCAGGCCGGUCACAGAAGGAAGCGACUGCACCGUGUUUUGUGUGCCUUCUCAGGCUCUCGGGGGAAUUAGGACUCUCCGAGUCGCAAUGGGAUUGCUUCCUGCAUAGCAGUCCUUCCCCCCCACCCGAACUGCAAAGCCCCUCCACCUGUUACCCUGGGUGAGAGCAGUAAGUUGGUUCUACCUUGCAACCCUUAUUCCAGCACAAGUUUCCAGACUCUUGUGUGGUUGCCUCCAUAUUCUCUGUUUCCAGUCAGAAGCUUGUUUCUGGUCAUGAGUUUUAAUUCUGAUACCUGUGUACUCCCUGGUUGGCUGU
Molecule: long non-coding RNA, 1238 nt
Filed under: Calidris pygmaea (Spoon-billed sandpiper)
Lineage: Eukaryota; Metazoa; Chordata; Aves; Charadriiformes; Scolopacidae
Description: lncRNA (ENSCPGG00000018649.1)
Source: RNAcentral